AGUCUUACCAAAAAUAUCCAAGAACGGGUUCAAUACCCACAUGACCGAAACCGAAGUUCUCACCUUCAAGCCAAAUGGAACGCUCGAUAUACGUCUCCCCUCACAUCCAUCGUCUCCCUUUCGAUUCUGAAAACCAAAAGAAGCUUUGUCAUCAAUGUUGUUCAAGGAGCAUCGUUGGAAACUUAGCACCAGUGGGAAGUCGCUGGGAACUUGAAAGCAACAACGACGACAUGACCUAGUGGAACCGAAGUAGGUCGAGUGGCGGUUGGCCGGAUCUCUUGAAGGAGGAAUCAGAGGGAGCAAAGAUGGUUGUGGAUGGUUUGUUCAAGAAUCGAUUCAAUGAUGAUUUCAAGCCUGAGGAAUGAAGAAGAUUGAGUGGCGAAAAGGUGGACAUGUCAUGGUGACGAAUUGGAAUGCUAUGGACUAUGCUUAUGGUGAUUGUUUCAUGAAAAACGCAGGGCUUUGGAUCUAGCUUUGUAAUGUUGUAAUUUUUGUAACUCGUGUGGUUUGAAGUUGAGUUAGAGAUAUAUGUAAUGUAAUUGGAAUUUGGUUUAUGAUUGUAAUGAGAUAAUGGAAAUUGAAUGUGAUUGGAAUUGAGAUUGAAUGGUUAAA
Molecule: long non-coding RNA, 612 nt
Organism: Lathyrus oleraceus (garden pea)
Lineage: Eukaryota; Viridiplantae; Streptophyta; Magnoliopsida; Fabales; Fabaceae
Exons: 2
Source: RefSeq, a predicted model, not a curated record